GGAGCGGCGCAGGGGGAAGCCCCGGCCCGGCCCGGCCCGCGGUGCCGGUGCCGCAGGCUCGCGCAGGGCAGAGCCCGGCCGCUGGGGCCCUGAGCUCGCUGCGGAUCCGGUGCUCGCCCGGGGCCCGAGACACGCGCGACCGGUGAACCCCGGCAAGACAGUGGCGCCCUGGGAGCCCCCGGAAGCAGAGGCCGGAGGAGCCCGGCCGGGGGCGCGGGCUGAGCCCGGCCUGGACUCCGCGGCUAGCAGCCGGCGUCACACGGCCCAAGGGCCGAUCGUGCAGCACCGCCCAGGGGACACACGUAACAACUCUGCCCUGAUCCAAGCCGGGGACGUAGUUUGAAGAGCAGGGAGAGGUUUUCUCCGUUCCCCUGCCCUUCUUGGGAGAUCAGUCACGCCCUCUGCCCACACGGCGAAGCGUCUGGCUUACGCACCCCAGGCACGAAUACACAGACGUGGAUGCAAACAUCGGCCCCUGCCCGCAUCACCCCUACGGAGCCCCCCUUGCUCUGGGCCCAGUCCGUGUGCCUGGGAGGGUGGAGGAGUGCCAUGAGGCAGGGAAGGAGUGGAGAUGGGCAGCGUCCAUCUCUACUGGAGUUAGGCACCGUCUGGGGCUGACGGUAAGUUGUUUGGCUGCCUCACUCUAGUGCGGGGGCAGGGGAAAUACACAGGAGUCACCAGGAUAGUUGCGCUGCCGUCUGCCCAGGCACGAAGCCCCUUCCCAACAGGCCCUGGAGCGAUCGAUAUCCACCGCUAAAAGCCAUGGCGAUCUGGCCUGCGAGGGAGCUCCAGGAUUCACAGGGGCAGCAACAGACGAGAUAGUUCCAGUCCAAGUGCCAGCCGCAGUGGAAUACAAGGAAAGCCCCUUAUGCCUGCUGCAUCUAUGACAGGAAACUUUCCUCUGAUGGCUCUGAAGAGUCUCUGGUUCUUAGCCACAGCUGUGCAUGGGAGCCUGGCAGCCACGAUUCAGUGCCCCCCUCCUCUGCCUUCCCCAUAUGACGUUACUUUCCUCUUUCACUUCAGAAGUGCAUGCCCUGGUCUCUGUACCCAGGCAUUACUCAGAAACACAACCAUCCAGCAGAGAUUCCCAUGUGUUACCUGCCCUUGGAUAAUAUUCUCUUAGCCCAGGCCAAGGCUCUGUGUUCGAAACAGGACAGAUGAAUCAUUUAGUGGGAUCGCCAAGCAGCUGCCUCUAGAUUCUGUGGAACUCAAACAAGAUUGUCAUUAUUUCCAGAGAUGACUCUGCACCCCUAAAGCAAACAAGGAACUGAAGACAGUGAGGUGCACAGAGAUUUGGCCACUCAUAUGGUGGGGAGCAGACAGGGAGAGUUUUCUGAGGCUGGAGGGAGAGACAGUUCCUCAUGGGAACAGCACUUAUCACCUUGGAACAGACACCAGGCAUGGAACUACUCAGAGUGCAAUCUCACAAGGGGGAAGCCAGGGCAGGAAAUAGCACAAGGCACUGGGAGGAGGGGGGGGGCGUGACAACCCACAACACCCCUGACAAUCCUAACUUCUGAUUGGCUGAAGAUGAGCCUGAUGGCCACCUCUUCUCUGGCCAGGCCAGCAAAUCCUGGUCCCCACACACUGCAAGUUGCUGGAGAGGGUCUCGGAACUGCCUGUCCAAAGACAAAGACAGAGAAACCCCAAUAGAAAGAAUAACUCCCCGCCUCUCACCCAGCAGGCUCCUGGAUAGGGGUCUCACACUCAGUGCAGGGAGUCCUGGGGAGGCAACAUUGCCCCAAGGGGAAUGGAACUUUCAGACCACUCGGUAGGGACCCUCCCUCCCUGAUGGGGAUAGCAUGGGCAAGGGCUCUUGGGAAGUCAUCCGCUCUAUUGUUUAUUAGAGGAUACAAGAGAAAAAACAAGCCACAUCCCAUAUCAGCACAUCUGAAGGGAGGGGCCGCACAGUAAUGACCACCUCUGCUCUUUAAAUAUAGACAUGUCCAGAGACUGAAAUGUGUUUUCUUCCAUCAGCUGUAACUGCACAGCACAAAGCUGGGCAAAGGAGCCUGGUGACAGGAGUGAUGCUCAGGGCCAACCCUGCUGAAGGAAUCAGAGUGAAACAGGGAGGGGGAAAGGCUGGAGCCCAAGCGCAUAUCUGGGAAUAUCAGAGCCACAGCUCACAUCAGUUACUUCAACACUUUAUUGAUUAGUGAUUUGUACAGCUAUGUACAUGACAAAGUAAAGCCAGCCUGUGGGAAAGCCAUACAAGCAGCAACUUUCCAGCCUCUGUCAUGUUUUGCCUUCGUUGUCUCAUUGGAAUAAGCCACCAAGAAACCAACACAGGUAGGAGACUAUUUCCCCACCCCCAACUUGUAUCCCUGCCAAUCAUGCCUGUCUUUUAGCAUCAGAUCCAAGAAGCAGCCCCAAUCACUGGAGAAGAGGAAUGGCUCUGAUGCUCCUCCCUCGAUCAGCUGUCUCUGUCAUUGGCAGCUUAACUGGACACAUUCCCAGCUUCUGUAGGCUGCUUUCCCCAAACGGAUUCAUUCCUGAGUGUGCUGGUCACACUGGUUACGGUCAGCAACCCUCCAGCCCAGAAUGCUCACAUGCUACUGAGCCUAAGGGGACCCAGCUAUUGACUACCCUUGCAGCACAGCAUCUGGCAAACACACACCCGGAGCCACCAGCCCAAGUGGAUUAGCAGCAAGGGCCUGCUGCACCCAGCAUCUGGCAAUGCCCGUUUGCCUCUCUAGCACCACGUCCCUACUAAAGGAGACAAUCCCUGUAUCCCUUAUUGACGAUGUCAGGUGCACUGGCACCCAGAAACACAGGCUCAGAAGAGAUGUGGCUGGAAACUUCAGCAGGAACUGCCUGCCUGCCAAGUAGAAGUCAGCAACCCAAGGCCAAAGCAAGGCAGCUGCUCCUCAGCUCUAGACUGGACAGUUAUGUCAAAGAGCAAGGCUCUCGGCAUUGUAAGCUGUGCGUACUGCAGAAAGGCUGUUCCCAACACUCAGGGCCUUGCUCCCUCCCAGCCGAAUUUAGUAACAGGGGUAAGAAGGAUGAAGCCAGCUUUCCACGCCCACACCGAUGUGGGAACAGUCUACACCCAGAGCAAUCCCUUUAUCAGUUAUAGCCAUUACAAAGACAACCCCCACAGCUUUAAUCUUUUAACUCUCUAAGCACCCCACAGGUUGCAGGCUCCACAUUCAGUGCCAGGGAAAUGAAGAGAUGAAGGGAUCGAUGCCAGGUAACCGCUGCUAUUUAAAUUGUGUUUGUUUCUGUCUGUCCCCUGCACAUGUACCUAUUCUUCUGCAGAUGCAGAGCGAGUCACUCUUAUUCCAUCUAGGAAGGUUAUUUAUCCAAUUGCAAAUGACAGGAAAUAGCUGAGGACCUGACCAGCAGCAGCACUGCUCUUCAGACUCCACAGAGAAAGGGACAGCAGAGGAGAGGGAAUGUUUGGGGGCAUGGCCGAACUCAAACGAUCAUCUGAUGUGGGGGGGGGAGAAUGGGGGGCUACAUACACACUUUCUGCUCAUGCAGGUUUCCCAUUGGCAAGGGUGCAAGAAGGGAAGACUUCUUGUUAUCUGACUGCAACUCGGCACUCCUGGUCUCAGCAUUGUUUGAAAACUACUGCUCUGAUUUCCCUAUGCACAGAUCCGCCCUGAUCAUUAUCCCUACCCAGAAACAGCUAGAUUUAGGGCUGCACAGAGCACGGACCAACAUGUCCUGUCCGGCAGCAGCACCAGUUGUCGCUCUAGAAUGAGAGCCAUGACCACUGAGCCUGAGGCAGCUGAGCCGUCAGGGGCAAAAGAGAGGGGCACCUAGAAAAAGGUGACGAAGUCUCUCACAAGCCACCUCAGCGCAGAAUGAGCCAUGAAGGGCAACUGCCUCAAGUGCUGCCCAAUGCCAUCAACUCCUCCCCGUUAGUCUCCCCUGGGAAUGCUUGCACCCUACAUCACACCUGCCUAGUUCCCCUCACAGCCCCUGGACUCAAAGCCGCUACAUAGACGUGUGUCUGGGAGCGCACCUCGCCCGACUGGCAGCCAUCAUUUCAGGUUAAUUCUGGCUGCAUAGGCACCAGGUGCAUCUUGAGUGCUCUAGCAAAGCCAGUACCCCAGGCAAAGAGUUUACAAGAAAGACGGGCUGGGGGGUGCCAGGAAGCAGUUGCAACUCCCUCUUCAAACAGCUUUUCCCUUUACACAAGAACUCCAGCCAUUUGUAAGCCAUGUUUUGGCUCCUACCCGUGGAUAUUAGCAGGUGAAUUCAAACCGUCUACUGCAGACUGGGCACCUGAGUUGUGCAACUGCAAGCUGGCUGAUCAGUGCUUUGGUCAUUCUAGACCCCUUUCCUGGAAACCUCUCUGCUUCUGCACAAAGAUGACCAAACCCUUCCCAAUAACCUAACUCUGUUCCUUCAGGGUGGCACAUAUCAACCCAAGCACGUCAUCUUGCUGGGGCACUGCACAGGAUUGUGAAAUGAAUGUUCCACCUACCUCACAUCCUACAGAACAAGGCUUUUCCUGGGGGCUGUCAGAACUGUGAGGAGAAGAAAUGGCUGUUUAUUUGCUUAGAUCCAAAGUUACUGACUAUUCCCUCUGUGCAAAUAGAAGCUCAUUUCUUGGCCACAGCCCUACUAAACUGGGGAGUGCAGAAGGAGAGCCCAAUUUGCGUGGAGAAAGGAGACAGGACAAGACUAGUCACCCAGAAUGUCUGACUAGCCAUGGAAGCAAUUAGCAAUUGAUCUUUGAAUAUUCUGCAUACCCACUCUCUGCAUUCACUUUCAUUACUCAUGGUAGGUCAGGGAAGGAGCCUAGCUACCGAGGUUACCAGCUGCAGGCUUAAUACAAGUGUCUUGGGGGUCGAUGUCGCAUCAAAAGCCUUCACUGUACCCCAGACUCCUGCAGGUCCAUCUCCAGGUUCUCAGAGAUGUUCAGACCCCACUCCCAACAAGCAGAAAGACAAUCCCUGGCUUCAUGGAGGUGUGGGACCUUCACAUGCAAAAUGGAUCCAUACAACCUCACCGCUAUACUGAAGUGCCAGCAAAGAGAGCACACCCACCUCCAUCCAACCUGAAUUAGAAGCAGCGCCUGGUUUGCUCAGCUGUGCAGCGUGGGGAGUCACAGCACACCCCAUUCCAAGCCCACACACUGGGGAAUAAAGCUCUGAACCAGACCUUGACCUUUCUGCACUGCCUGUCAGGUACCUCCUCAGGGCAGCCAGGCUACAGACCAGUUUCUCCCUUCCACUAACUCCCAGAGGGGAACUUUCCUGUCCACUCAGGAGUUGCUAAUGCAGGAUGGAAAACAGAGUACCACCAGUGUGGUACAUGAUGCAGUCACAACUCUGCAGGGAAGGGGCUGUCAGCAGCACCCGCCACUGAGCUGCGUAUUCCCAAAGCUAACUAGAGUGUGUGGACUGCAUGGGGGAGGGGGCUCCUUCCUAGUGACUUUGAACUUGGCUGUGCUGACCACAAUGACACCGCUGCCUUCUCAGAAUGCAAACUGCUGACAUACACUGUUCUGCACAUGCCCACGCUCAAUGCUGUUCACCCUUUGCACCCAUUUGGUUAGCACCCAUUGGCAGCAAUUCAGGGCAGAGCCUGGCAAGCAACACUGCUCCAAAUGGUGCACUCCACACACUGGCUAACAGUCUUCUCCAGCAGGUGUUUGCUAAACCCAGUGAAGCGUUUGCAUUCCAGGGGUGGCAGUGCCUUACUGACAUGGCACAGUCAGCUCAUACCUCCUCAGGCACAGAGGUUUGGGCUGAUGGAGCUUUGCACAGACUGGGGCAAGCUGGCCAUGAGACCAAAUGCCUUGGUGCACAAAGGAAGAUGGGCUACAACUAGAAGGGCCAGUUUAUUAAAGAGAAACCUCACAUCCCAGAGAAUUCAAACACAUUUGGAAAGGGCCCAGCCCAGCUGAGUGGGCCCAUCUUCCACAGCAGCACAGUUCUAAACCCCCCCAAGCUUGGGCACCAGCCAGCACCAGGGGGAAGAAAGGAUCCACUAAUACAGCUUAUUAUGCUUGCAAAUAGCCUGAAAGAGUCAGU
Dermochelys coriacea (leatherback sea turtle) is the source of this 5990-nucleotide long non-coding RNA. RefSeq lists it as uncharacterized. The record is from RefSeq and is a predicted model, not a curated record. Lineage: Eukaryota; Metazoa; Chordata; Testudines; Dermochelyidae. The transcript has 2 exons.